Molecule: long non-coding RNA, 545 nt
Organism: Sciurus carolinensis (gray squirrel)
Lineage: Eukaryota; Metazoa; Chordata; Mammalia; Rodentia; Sciuridae
Exons: 3
Source: RefSeq, a predicted model, not a curated record
CAAUAUUCAACAGCAGUGCUUCAAGUCUAGCUGCACAGACUGGGUGGGUUCACAGGCAGACAUUUGAAUUCUCAGUCCUGAGAAUAGAAGUGAUUGCACAGCCACGGACCUGCCUAUCAGCUGCAGUGUGCAGAAAGCUUGAGACCCAGGACUCUUCCUCUUCUGAUACUGGUUUCUCAGUUGUGCUGUCUUCCUGAGACUGUGUGUGGAGUCAACCAGUCAUGGAUAAAAGACGAUUUGAAGUCAGUCCCAGUGCACCAGCAAGGAGCGCCAGAAGGAAGGCAGAUGAAUACUUAAAACCCAAACUAGGCUCCAAAAAUGUGCUGAGCUUUUUACUAGGUAGACAACUAGGGAGACAUGAAAGUGAUGUGGAUCUGUCAAAGUGGCUGUGGAUGUUGCAACGAGCAACACCAGGGUGGAAUUGGCCUUUGCCAAAACACCAUGUGGCUUAUAUGCUUAUGCCUGCCCAGAAUCUUGGAAAACCCAGAAAAAAGGGUUUAGAAUAAAAUGUCUCCCAUGUCUCAGCUAUUGAAAUAGAAACUGUA